Molecule: transfer RNA, 74 nt
Filed under: Caldifarciminota bacterium
Lineage: Bacteria; Pseudomonadati; Caldifarciminota
Description: candidate division WOR-3 bacterium (hot springs metagenome) tRNA-Val
Rfam family: tRNA
About the family: Transfer RNA (tRNA) molecules are approximately 80 nucleotides in length. Their secondary structure includes four short double-helical elements and three loops (D, anti-codon, and T loops).
Source: RNAcentral
GGGCGAAUAGCUCAGAUGGUUAGAGCGCCGGUCUCACAUACCGGAGGGCAGAGGUUCAAUUCCUCUUUCGCCCA